This 418-nucleotide ribosomal RNA is filed under the name uncultured bacterium. Its description in RNAcentral is "bacterial SSU rRNA". It matches the Rfam family "Bacterial small subunit ribosomal RNA", at positions 32 to 479 of the family's 1533-position model. The record is from RNAcentral.
AAUCAACGCUGGCGGCGUGCCUAACACAUGCAAGUCGCACGAGAAAGGGACUUCGGUCCUGAGUACAGUGGCGCACGGGUGAGUAACACGUGAAUCAUCUACCUUCGAGUGGGGAAUAACUGAGAGAAAUCUUAGCUAAUACCGCAUAAUACCUACGGGUCAAAGAUUUAUCGCCUAGGGAUGAGCCCGCGUAGGAUUAGCUAGUUGGUGAGGUAAAAGCUCACCAAGGCGACGAUCCUUAGCUGGUCUGAGAGGAUGAUCAGCCACACUGGGACUGAGACACGGCCCAGACUCCUACGGGAGGCAGCAGUGGGGAAUAUUGGACAAUGGGCGAAAGCCUGAUCCAGCAAUGCCGCGUGAGUGAUGAAGGCCUUAGGGUUGUAAAAGCUCUUUUACCCGGGAUGAUAAUGACAGUACC